GAUGAAGAACGUAGCGAAAUGCGAUAAGUAAUGUGAAUUGCAGAAUUCAGUGAAUCAUCGAAUCUUUGAACGCACAUUGCGCCCGCCAGUAUUCUGGCGGGCAUGCCUGUUCGAGCGUCAUUUCAACCAUCAAGCCCCCGGCUUGUGUUGGGGACCUGCGGCUGCCGCAGGCCCUGAAAACCAGUGGCGGGCUCGCUAGUCACUCCGAGCGUAGUAGUUACAUCUCGCUCAGGGCGUGCUGCGGGUUCCGGCCGUUAAAAGCCUUAUUUAACCAAGGUUGACCUAGGAUCAGGUAGGAAGACCCGCUGAACUUAAGCAUAUCAAUAAGCGGAGGA
RNAcentral lists this unclassified non-coding RNA (335 nucleotides) under soil metagenome. RNAcentral describes it as "partial contains 5.8S ribosomal RNA, internal transcribed spacer 2, and large subunit ribosomal RNA". The stretch from base 1 to 120 matches the Rfam family "5.8S ribosomal RNA", at positions 35 to 154 of the family's 154-position model. The record is from RNAcentral.